RNAcentral lists this unclassified non-coding RNA (208 nucleotides) under Hevea brasiliensis (rubber tree). Lineage: Eukaryota; Viridiplantae; Streptophyta; Magnoliopsida; Malpighiales; Euphorbiaceae. The record is from RNAcentral.
GGUCACGAGCCAUUUCUGCAGAACCAAUAUUCCCUAAUGCACAAAGAGCAAGUCCAACGAUAUAUUGAUUGGUGUGGUUAAGAUCUUGCUUUAUAGAAUUGGUAACCAACAUAAGAACCUCUUGUCUUUCGUCAAGAAGCAACAUUAGGCCAAGAUAUCCUAUUCUUUUCUCUGGAAAUCCUGGAGAAGCAAUCAGCUUCAAGCAUUC